RNAcentral lists this ribosomal RNA (513 nucleotides) under uncultured bacterium. RNAcentral describes it as "bacterial SSU rRNA". It matches the Rfam family "Bacterial small subunit ribosomal RNA", at positions 29 to 520 of the family's 1533-position model. The record is from RNAcentral.
AGCGAACGUUAGCGGCGGGCCUAACACAUGCAAGUCGAACGCGAAAGGUCUUCGGACUGAUUAGAGUGGCGCACGGGUGAGUAACACGUAGGUAAUCUACCCUUUGGCGGGGGAUAACGUUCCGAAAGGAGCGCUAAUACCGCAUAAGACCACGGAGUCUCCGGACGCUGUGGGAAAAGGUGGCCUCUUCUUGAAAGCUAUCACCGGAGGAUGAGCCUGCGUCCCAUCAGCUAGUUGGUAAGGUAAUGGCUUACCAAGGCAAAGACGGGUAGCUGGUUUGAGAGAAUGAUCAGCCACACUGGCACUGGAACACGGGCCAGACUCCUACGGGAGGCAGCAGUGAGGAAUAUUGGGCAAUGGGCGAAAGCCUGACCCAGCCACGCCGCGUGAGUGAUGAAGGCCCUCGGGUCGUAAAGCUCUGUGGAGAGGGACGAAAACCUGGGGUCUAAUAGGCCCCGGACUUGACGGUACCUCUUAGCAAGCACCGGCUAACUCUGUGCCAGCAGCCGACGG